RNAcentral lists this ribosomal RNA (460 nucleotides) under uncultured bacterium. RNAcentral's name for it is "partial 16S ribosomal RNA". It matches the Rfam family "Bacterial small subunit ribosomal RNA", at positions 338 to 795 of the family's 1533-position model. The record is from RNAcentral.
CCUACGGGUGGCAGCAGUGAGGAAUAUUGGUCAAUGGGCGGAAGCCUGAACCAGCCAAGUCGCGUGAGGGAUUAAGGCCCUGCGGGUCGUAAACCUCUUUUGCCGGGGAGCAGUGGUCCGGACGUGUCCGGGCCGGGAGAGUACCCGGAGAAAAAGCAUCGGCUAACUCCGUGCCAGCAGCCGCGGUAAUACGGAGGAUGCGGGCGGUAUCCGGAUUUAUUGGGUUUAAAGGGUGCGUAGGCGGGCAUUUAAUCCGGCGGUCAAAUGUCGGGGCUCAACCCCGGCCUGCCGUCGAAACGGGGUGCCUUGAGUGGGCGAGAAGUAUGCGGAAUGCGUGGUGUAGCGGUGAAAUGCAUAGAUAUCACGCAGAACCCCGAUUGCGAAGGCAGCAUACCGGCGCCCUACUGACGCUGAGGCACGAAAGUGCGGGUAUCGAACAGGAUUAGAUACCCUGGUAGUC